AAUUGAGGUAGAUGUGAAAAUGUAGUCUGCCAUUCCAUUUCUCGCCAAGUUCCUUUGCAAGCUGAUGACUAGCACAUUCUCAUAGACCAAAAUGGGAAAGACAGGAAGCAGUCCACAGCACGCUGACUUCAGAGCGGAGGCGGUUAGAAGACUUGCAGAAUGAUGCCAUGGUUGAUGCACUUCUGGCGGACAUAGCGACGAACAGGGAGCGGCUGGUCACCAUCUCCAACU
Long non-coding RNA from Cydia strobilella, 231 nucleotides. RefSeq lists it as uncharacterized. NCBI's taxonomy places the organism in Eukaryota, Metazoa, Arthropoda, Insecta, Lepidoptera, Tortricidae. The transcript is spliced from 3 exons. The record is from RefSeq and is a predicted model, not a curated record.